GUCUUUUUGAAUUUAAUUAAAAGUCCAAUCUGCCCUAUGAAAAAUUAAAUGGCCGCGGUAUUUUGACCGUGCAAAGGUAGCAUAAUAAUUAGCUUUUUAAAUGGAAGCUUGUAUGAAGGAUUAGACGAGGGUUUGACUGUCUCCAUUUUAUAAAUAAAAUUUUAUUUUUGAGUUAAAAAGCUUAAAUUUUUUAAUAAGACGAGAAGACCCUAUAGAUUUUUAUAUUUUUAUUAAUUUUUUAAUAUUGGAAUUUAUUUAAGUUUUAAUAAAUUAUUUAGUUGGGGUGAUUUGAAAAUUUAAUAAACUUUUUAAAUAUUUAACAUAGAUUUAUGAUUUUUUGACCUUGAUUUUCUGUUUAUAAGAUUAAGUUACCUUAGGGAUAACAGCGUUAUUCUUCUUGAUAGUUCUUAUUGAUAGAAGAGUUUGCGACCUCGAUGUUGGAUUAAAAUUUAUUACUGAUGCACAAGUUAGUUAAUUAAGUCUGUUCGACUUUUAAAAUUUUCGACUUUUAAAAUUUUCUGAUGCACAAGUUAGUUAAUUAAGUCUGUUCGACUUUUAAAAUUUUCGACUUUUAAAAUUUU
Molecule: ribosomal RNA, 581 nt
Filed under: Mezium sp. 2 Obib KLB-2011
Lineage: Eukaryota; Metazoa; Arthropoda; Insecta; Coleoptera; Ptinidae
Description: partial 16S ribosomal RNA
Source: RNAcentral